GUAAAGGAAGAAAUUCUGAGCCUAGAAAACUUUCUUUCUCUGUAAUGUUUCUUUAGGUUUUGAUCGUGGCUGCACCAUCUCAGAGUUCCUGCAUGUCAUUCACACCAGACAGGGACACUAGGGAGGAAAUCUAAGUCCAAACCAUGGAGGCUUUCAAUGUGAUAGUCUAAGACUGUUCCAUAAUAUAGAAUCAUAGUUAAUAGUUCUCAGAGUUGGUAGAAAUAUAUUUCAUAUCUAACAGUGAGAUAAAAGAAGAUUGGGAGGCUAUGGAAAACAUUUCCACAAAAAUUUAAACACAUAAUUAUCAUAUGAUCUAGCAUUCCCACUUUCCAAAGAAUUAAAAGCAGGCACUCAAAGAGAUAUUUGCACUCUCAUGUUCAUGGCAACAUUAUUCACAAUGGACAGGAAGCAGAAGCAACCCAAAUGUUCAUCUCUGGAUGAAUGGAGAAAUAGAACGUGGCAUAUGCAGACAAUUGAAUACUAUUCAGCCUAAAAAAGGAAGGAAACUGUGACACAUACUCUAACAUGGAUGAACCUCGAGGACAAAAUGCUAAGUGAAAUGAGCCAGUCACAAAGAGACAAGUACUGUGUGGUUCCAUGUGUAUGAGGUCUCUAAGGUAGUCAAAUCCAUAGGAACAGAAAGUGGAUUAGCGGUUACCAGGUUAGAGAGGAGGGGGAAAUGAGGAGUUGCUGUUUAACUAGUAUAGAGUUUAAGUUUUAAAAAAUGCAAAAGUUCUGGAAACUGGUUGCACAACAAUUUAGAUACACUUAACAUUAAUGAACUAUACACUUAAAAAUGGUAAAGACAGUAAAUGUUAUGUGUUUUAACCACAAUUGAAAAUAAAAUUAAAGAAUAGUGAGAGAAUGACUCUAAAGAGGUGUCUUCAAGAGUGGAGAGAAAUAAUGUGGUUUAGGACUAGAAGUUUAGGACUUAGUUUAAAAACAGGUAGUAUGCCCAAAGUUACUCUUUAAUGAACCACCAGGUGGGUUCAGCAUGUGUUGCCAUGGAUAGUCACACGAACCUGUUUAGACUGGACAGCUGUGGGUGUUUCCUGAAUUAAUUCCUCUGUUUCACUGAACUUUCAUGAUCCGCUGUUAACUGUUGAAGUUAUAUGAGAUACCGUAAGAGAAUUUAACCGAGAAACUGUGGUGCCAGAGCUGCUUUCUGUUAAGAAUUCCCAGGUGGUCCAAUGGGUAGGACUCAGUGCUUUCACUGCCGUUGGCCUGGGUUCAAUCCCUGGUCUUCCCGCAAGCCAAGUGGUGUGGCUAAAGAAAACAACAAGAAAGAAUUGCUCACUGUCCUUUUGUUCUUUUACUCUAGGAAAAUUGAUGAGGGAUCUGGAAUAUAAGACAAGUGAGUAUCUGGAGAGGAUAGUGGCUGAAGUUUGCAAAUUACCAUUUUCCUGUGAAGCUCUUAUUACUUAUGGGUCAGCCUGUUUGUUUUAAAGAGGAAGGUCUUCAUGUGACUAAUAUAUCAAAAUUCUUUAUCCUGAGUUCAGAACUAUAAACCUUUCCCCAGAUUUGCUCAGCUGUAGUGAUCCCAGUUCUUAUCUUUUUUUCCUCUCCAGUCUCAUCGCACUGCCUGAGCCUUGAAUUUUCUGUGUUUACACUUUCUAGAUUGCUAGAAACUUUCUAGUUGCUAACAGUCUGAACACAAGGUCAAAAGCAGUCUUUGUCCUGAUCCCCUGAGGAGCCUCCCACCAUUGUCAUGAAGGCCCCAGAACCUAUGGGACAAAUCUCAUUUCUAUCUUUUGUGAGGCCACACCUUUGUCUCCUUGUCCCCACAGUGAGGAUCAUCCUGAAUUCCCAGACAGCCAAUGGCUACCUCUCAGUGGCUCCAAAUGGGAAAAGUAUGAUGUUCACUGGCUUGUGGCUGAACAAAUGCCAGCGUGGUCAGUGAUUUGAUCCGGAGCCUGGGGUGCCGGGCAAGAGGAGAAUGAGGAGUUGGAGGAGGAACGAUCUCAGGAAAAUAGAAUAUGGCCAAAAUUCUGCCUGGUGGGGGUGGCAAGAGAGUCAGUGAUCCUGUCCUACUGCCCCCAGUAGAUUGGAGUUGCUCUGGAUCAUGAUGGUGGGACGGUAACCUUUACCAAUGCCAGAACUCAAGAGUUCAUCUAUGAAUUCUCAUCUGCCUUCACUGGGAGAAUUUUCCCUUUCCUGUGGCUUAACUGCAUGAGAUCCAGACUUAUGCUGAGACCCUGAGAGAGGAUCUCCUGGCACAGCCCCACGUUUUGUCAUUUACCCUUUGUUCCUUUUCAUCAGUCCCAGCUGUGCCUCAGCUGGAUGGUCCUGCUGGGUUUCUGAUUACACUCAGAUGACUGGAGCUUUAUGGCAGUCAUGAGUCUCUUGUCCUCGCAGCUUUCUCUCUAAAAUGGGGACAGUAAUAGUUGAUCUUUUUUCUCUAAGGGGAAUGGUUGGAAUGUCUUUAAUGUACUUAUUAAAAUGUGUCUUAACUAAUUUAUCUCUUCUGUUGCCUUUGAUUUGGUUCUUCACCUGCCACUGAGACAAAUGUAUUAGAACGAGUGACUGUAUUACAGAAUCUCGGCUCCUGCUACAAAUAGUAAUUGAUGACAACAUCCAUAUUGAUUUAUG
Molecule: long non-coding RNA, 2589 nt
Organism: Bos taurus (domestic cattle)
Lineage: Eukaryota; Metazoa; Chordata; Mammalia; Artiodactyla; Bovidae
Source: Ensembl